Molecule: long non-coding RNA, 1566 nt
Organism: Alligator mississippiensis (American alligator)
Lineage: Eukaryota; Metazoa; Chordata; Crocodylia; Alligatoridae
Exons: 4
Source: RefSeq, a predicted model, not a curated record
GCCAGGUGGGUAUCGUGAGUAUUCUCCUCAGAGCAAAUGCAAUGGUAUUUGAGGGCCUAACUGCAGAUGACAGCCUUUUUUUGUGUGCUUUGAGAUGAUUGCUGGUCCUGUGGACCUAAGUAUGGUGGUCUGUGUGAUUUUUGUAUAUGGUGCUUUGUAGGAUGCCAUCCUGGAUGUUGAUAAGGGUGUUUUGAAUGUUGAUGCUACUGUAGGAGUAUUCCAGACAAAGUUUGAUUGAGAAGUUGCAGUUGUUAAACUUGUGGUGGAAGUCAAUAAGCGAGUCCACGUAUUCAGAAUACUUACUGACUUCUGCGGGAAGCAAUGUUUUGUUUUAUACAUCUAAAGUACAAUCCCAAAGUAAAGGACGUUAUCAGUCUGAUGCCUUCCUAGCCGUUAAUGGAAUCAUAAAAGCAAUCCUAGAAGUAACAUCUCAGAUCUAGUACUAGGUGUUAAUCUAUUUUUCCAUCAUGGCAAAUUGUAUUUGGCAAGUGUGCUGUGCUAUCCCAACAGCCUUUGCCAAACCUUUGUUCUAUUUAUUUCAAUAAUAGAAUAUAGCAAACAUUGAGUGCUUUUGAAAAUACCACUAUAAUCGAAAACAAAAGAUGGGGGAGAUGUCUACAGGGUAUAGGACUUGAUGAAAUGCAGAGGUUUGGGCUGGAUUGGUCAUAUUUAUGCUGUUGUGGCCAUCUGUCUCUCUUGCUCUACAUGAAGCAUUUUUCUGGGAUUUAAACAAGGUCUACUGCAACACCUGACAGAAACAAUCAGACACAUGUUCUUUGUUUAAAUCUAUAUUUGUGCUGACAGAUGACUAAGACCCCACAGAGGACGUGAAUCAGAUCAGCAACAAAGCAAAAUGUACAUGUUUCAAGGCCAGGUCACAGCAGAUGGCAGGGGGUCAGAAAAGGAGGUAGGUCUCCCUCUAUGACUGUCCUAUUCCAUCAACACCAAACUCAGACAGGAGAAAAGGAAUCAAGGCAGAAUGGGGACGUAAAGGUGAAGUGUGCAGUACAAAAGGCCCUUCAUGUGACCCUUCCUUCUUUUGCCCUGAAGUGAUGUCACAUCCUUUAACCCUUGCCCUCAUGAAUUUGGAGGGGGGAUACUCUCAUCACAAACAGUUAGUGCAAGGAGGCAAAAGAACUGUCAUGAGUAAUUACUAUGAAGUGGCAAUGAUGCUUCAGCUUUGACAUCACCAAAGACCGAACAAAGAUGCUUACUUUCAUUUUGAUCCAGCUCCAAUUUAACUGGUCAUAAACUUAUCUAGCUAUAACUGUGGUCUUUUGAAAGCACGCAUAAAUCAGUGGUUGAUUUUUUACUUAUGACUCUUCUGAUUUCUUUCUGAAUGUAUGUGGUUUUUUGGUUUGCAUGAUCUGAAUUAGAAAUCACCACUAAAAAUGAUUAUUUUUGCAUUAGUGGAGACUACUAUUUAGAAAUCUGUUGAGAAGCAGACUUUCAAUAUUUCCUGUGGCCCUGAACCUAGCUGAAUGCUGUCUAGUGAAUGAAGUGAUUACUUCCAUGAUUCUCUCUGCCUCAAUUUUACUGGAUUUUUGAUCGAGUUGGGAACUAGGU